ACCGUUAUGGUGAAAUUGGUAACCACGCAAGCUUGAGGGGUUUGUGGACGUAUGUCCUUUCCGGUUCGAGUCCGGAUAACGGUA
This 84-nucleotide transfer RNA is filed under the name Dicloster acuatus. Its description in RNAcentral is "tRNA-Leu". It matches the Rfam family "tRNA". From Rfam's summary of the family: Transfer RNA (tRNA) molecules are approximately 80 nucleotides in length. The record is from RNAcentral. Lineage: Eukaryota; Viridiplantae; Chlorophyta; Trebouxiophyceae; Chlorellales; Chlorellaceae.